AGUGAACGCUGGCGGUAGGCCUAACACAUGCAAGUCGAACGGCAGCACAGUAAGAGCUUGCUCUUACGGGUGGCGAGUGGCGGACGGGUGAGGAAUACAUCGGAAUCUACUUUUUCGUGGGGGAUAACGUAGGGAAACUUACGCUAAUACCGCAUACGACCUACGGGUGAAAGCAGGGGAUCUUCGGACCUUGCGCGAUUGAAUGAGCCGAUGUCGGAUUAGCUAGUUGGCGGGGUAAAGGCCCACCAAGGCGACGAUCCGUAGCUGGUCUGAGAGGAUGAUCAGCCACACUGGAACUGAGACACGGUCCAGACUCCUACGGGAGGCAGCAGUGGGGAAUAUUGGACAAUGGGCGCAAGCCUGAUCCAGCCAUACCGCGUGGGUGGAGAAGGCCUUCGGGUUAUAAAGCCCUUUUGUUGGGAAAGAAAAGCAGCAGGUUAAUACCCCGCUGUUCUGACGGUACCCAAAGAAUAAGCACCGGCUAACUUCGUG
This 492-nucleotide ribosomal RNA is filed under the name uncultured bacterium. Its description in RNAcentral is "partial 16S ribosomal RNA". It matches the Rfam family "Bacterial small subunit ribosomal RNA", at positions 29 to 507 of the family's 1533-position model. The record is from RNAcentral.